UAAAGAACAGUAAUGUACGAGUAGAUGC
Molecule: small RNA, 28 nt
Filed under: Bombyx mori (domestic silkworm)
Lineage: Eukaryota; Metazoa; Arthropoda; Insecta; Lepidoptera; Bombycidae
Description: ovarian small RNA-2829
Source: RNAcentral